UAGGGAAUCUUCGGCGAUGGGGGCAACCCUGACCGAGCAACGCCGCGUGAGUGAAGAAGGUUUUCGGAUCGUAAAGCUCUGUUGUAAGAGAGGAACGUGUGUGAGAGUGGAAAGUUCACACAGUGACGGUAACUUACCAGAAAGGGACGGCUAACUACGUGCCAG
Molecule: ribosomal RNA, 165 nt
Filed under: uncultured bacterium
Lineage: Bacteria
Description: partial 16S rRNA
Rfam family: Bacterial small subunit ribosomal RNA
Source: RNAcentral